RNAcentral lists this ribosomal RNA (1010 nucleotides) under Clostridium fallax. RNAcentral describes it as "bacterial SSU rRNA". It matches the Rfam family "Bacterial small subunit ribosomal RNA", at positions 8 to 1030 of the family's 1533-position model. The record is from RNAcentral. Lineage: Bacteria; Bacillati; Bacillota; Clostridia; Eubacteriales; Clostridiaceae.
AGAGUUUGAUCCUGGCUCAGGACGAACGCUGGCGGCGUGCUUAACACAUGCAAGUCGAGCGAGAGAGUUUUCUUCGGAAAACAAUCUAGCGGCGGACGGGUGAGUAACACGUGGGUAACCUGCCUCAUAGAGGGGGAUAGCCUCCCGAAAGGGAGAUUAAUACCGCAUAACAUCAUUUUAGCGCAUGCUGAAAUGAUCAAAGGAGUAAUCCGCUAUGAGAUGGACCCGCGGCGCAUUAGCUAGUUGGUGAGGUAACGGCUCACCAAGGCCACGAUGCGUAGCCGACCUGAGAGGGUGAUCGGCCACAUUGGGACUGAGACACGGCCCAGACUCCUACGGGAGGCAGCAGUGGGGAAUAUUGCACAAUGGGGGAAACCCUGAUGCAGCAACGCCGCGUGAGUGAUGACGGCCUUCGGGUUGUAAAGCUCUGUCUUUAAGGGACGAUAAUGACGGUACCUAAGGAGGAAGCCACGGCUAACUACGUGCCAGCAGCCGCGGUAAUACGUAGGUGGCAAAGCGUUGUCCGGAUUUACUGGGCGUAAAGGGAGCGUAGGUGGAUUCUUAAGUGAGAUGUGAAAUACCCGGGCUUAACUUGGGUGCUGCAUUUCAAACUGGGAAUCUAGAGUGCAGGAGAGGAAAGUGGAAUUCCUAGUGUAGCGGUGAAAUGCGUAGAGAUUAGGAAGAACACCAGUGGCGAAGGCGACUUUCUGGACUGUAACUGACACUGAGGCUCGAAAGCGUGGGGAGCAAACAGGAUUAGAUACCCUGGGUAGUCCACGCCGUAAACGAUGGAUACUAGGUGUGGGAGGUAUCAACUCCUUCCGUGCCGCCGUUAACACAUUAAGUAUCCCGCCUGGGGAGUACGGUCGCAAGAUUAAAACUCAAAGGAAUUGACGGGGACCCGCACAAGCAGCGGAGCAUGUGGUUUAAUUCGAAGCAACGCGAAGAACCUACCUAGACUUGACAUCUCCUGAAUUACUCUUAAUCGAGGAAGUCCCUUCGGGGACAGG